Molecule: ribosomal RNA, 231 nt
Filed under: uncultured eukaryote
Lineage: Eukaryota
Description: partial 18S ribosomal RNA
Rfam family: Eukaryotic small subunit ribosomal RNA
Source: RNAcentral
CUGCACGCGCGUUACACUGUAUCGCAAAGCGAGCAUGCUACGUUUUUCAGGUUGAUGCCCUCUGCUUGGAAGCUUCGGUUUUCAAGUAUGACAUCUUCGCCUGCGUACCUGGACCGAAGGGUUCGGGGAAUCUUGUAAAACCGGUACGUGACUGGGAUAGAUCAUUGCAAUUAUUGGUCUUCACAGAGGAAUUACUAGUAAGGGUAUAUCAUUAAUGUACCCUGAUUACGU